AAAAAUUCAUCCACGUAUCACUCCACAUUUUCACCACAUUGUGAACCAAUCACUUUACAUGCAUUUUUCUCUCAUGAAAUAAAUUUGCCAAAACUCAAGAUCAGAUCAUUCACAGAAAAUCCAAUUAUCAUCAGCUUUCUUUCCUCUCCAAAAAUUCAUUCAAAUCACAAGCAUCUCUUCAAGAAAGUACACAGUCUGUAAGUAUAUUUCUCAAGUGCUUUUUUUUCCAAUGCAUAAGAAAAGACUGAAUUUUUGCAUAAGAAAGAUUGAUUUUUUUUUAAGAAAAGAUUAAAAAUUUCUCAACACCAUUUCAAAUGAAUUAGAAGACUAGAAUGUGAUAGAGUGUUUUGAGAUGAUUUGGGGAGGGGUGUUGGGCGGCGAUUUUUAGCCGGAGAAGGAGAGCAGCAUCGGCUGCUCGGCGUGGCAGGAGGAGGCGGCGUCGGCCACGGCGCCGGCGCUGUCACGGCGCUGCUGCUGUCGACACGGCGCCGGCGGUGCCAGAUCUGCAGGAAAGGAGGGGCAGCGGCGCUGCUCCGUGCAGGGACGGCGGAGGCAGCUGCUGCUGCCGGUCAAGAGGGAGACGGGUGAAGGGGAGGCGGCGGCUGCUGCUGUGCUGCGGUCGACGCGGCGCCGGCGGUGGUUUCCGCUGCCAUCGACGGAGAAGAGGGAGAGAUGAGGAGAAGAGAGAGGGCUGGGGGAAGAGAGAGAAGUCGGAGGAGAGAGAGAGGGGCCGGCCUCCGUCGGGCGGCGCCGCCGUCCGGCGGCGGCGGCAGUAGCGUGAGAGGGAGAUGAGGCUGAGAGGGUGAGUAGGAGGAGGUUGGCGGCGGCGGUGGUGGUCCUUCGCCGUUGACCGUCCAACCGAGAAAAAGAGAUGGGAAGGGUAGAUUUGCAGAUUUUGGGGAUUUCCUCUUUGAGAGAGAGAGAUGGCGAAGAGAGGAGGAGAAGGGAAGGUGUUCUGGUAUUGGUGAGAGAGAAAUGGGGGGGAGACGUAGAGAGGGAGAAAUAAGGGGGGUUUUGACUUAUGGAAUUUUGGGGUUGUUUGUUUUUAAUUAAGUUGGGCCUAUACUUUUAAUUUAAGAUGGGCCUUAUUUUAUCAAAGAGUUCAGCUGUAUUUUGUUAAGAUUUUUGGCUGAUUUAAAUUCUUUAAAUCAUGCUCUACUUAAAUUAUUUAGUCGAGUCUUGAUUAAUUUGAAUAAUGAUUUAAUGGUCUGAUUAAUUAGGCUCUAUAAUUUGAGUUUGAUUGAUUAUUCUUAUGUGUAUAAUUAUUUACUUUAUGUGAUCUUGAGAUAUAAUAUGAAUUUGCAUAGUGAAUAAUGCAAUAAAAGUAUUUUUAUAAAUUCCAUUUUUUUUAAAGAUUUCCAAUUGAGUUUUGAAAAUUCGGGCGCAGAAUAUUAAGAUUUAGCAGCUUUGUAGAAUCGUUAGUUCAUGCGAUAUUUUAAGGCCUAUUAAGAUUAGAUUAUCUUGUAGGUCCACUUGAUAGAAGGCUUUAGCAUUGGCUUUACAAGGCAAGAGAAUUUGUGCAUCUUUUAAUCUACAGGCUUGUCCUAUCGAGGUGGGUUUUUAUUUUCCAAUGUAUGUUUUGAGUUAUUGAGCUCUAAAUUGUUUUAAUGCUAUUGUAAAUGAAUGUCCAUGUUAAAAUGUUUUUAUCUCUCUAUUGUUUAAAGUGCUCCUAUGUUCUCUAACGAUCGGGUCCUAGCCGGCGUAGCGAUUAGAUCGCCUUGGACAGGAUGUGUACACACAAAGGGGUAUUGUGGGCUGCUCCCACUUGCCUCAGACUGUCAGACUUGGGCUGCUCCCAUUUCUGAAACAUGCAUGGUAGUGCACCUCUAUAGGCUGCUCCCACAUGUUCACAUUAUAGGUGAAGCACCAAUAGAGAGAAGACUGGAAAUGGAUCCACAAAUUUAUUUUAAGUAUGCAUGGAAUGCUUUCAAAUAUUUCUAUGUUAUACUGUUCAUAGCAUGGAUUAUUCUUUUAAAUGGAUUUUCAAAUGUUUUCAAAUGGCUAAACCCACUGAGUAUAUUAGUACUCAGCCCUGCAAUUGUUUUCAAAACCUUUUGCAGGUUGAGCGGCAGGUGGUGUCGUGCGAGGCUGAGGGAGGAUGUUGCUGUAGUUUCAUAUAAUAAUUUCCGCUGCCAUAAUAUUCACUUAGGUGGAUAUCUUUUGAGAAUGACUCUUUAAAUAGUCUUAGCCUAAUUAUUAUGAACUCUUUUGGCAAUCGCAUUUCUAGCAAUUGAACCUCGCAUAUAUGAAUGUCUAGUAUGAAGUGUUAUCUUGUUGUCUCAGACCUCCGAACUUUUGAUCCUGGUUGGGAAGAUUUCUAUCCUAAUUGUUGUAUUUAUUAUCCUUCAAUUGCGGCACUCCUUUAUUAACAAUGUAUUACCCGAAUCUAAGAACAUAUCACCCAUUUUAUUCUAACAAAGUCUAGCAAAUCC
This 2432-nucleotide long non-coding RNA is filed under the name Salvia miltiorrhiza (redroot sage). RNAcentral's name for it is "long non-coding RNA (SMIL_LNC010536)". The record is from RNAcentral. Lineage: Eukaryota; Viridiplantae; Streptophyta; Magnoliopsida; Lamiales; Lamiaceae.